RNAcentral lists this long non-coding RNA (693 nucleotides) under Homo sapiens (human). RNAcentral describes it as "HSALNT0379352". The record is from RNAcentral. Lineage: Eukaryota; Metazoa; Chordata; Mammalia; Primates; Hominidae.
CGGCCGCCUGCGGCAUCAGCAUUCCGGCGGCGCGGGCGGCCGCUGUCCUCGCGCGACCCCAGCCCGUCCAGAGCGCGCCCCGGCACCGACCCUCGGGGCGAGGCGAGCGCAGCCCCCGCUGGCCAACAAGAAAAUGCACCGGGACCACUCCUCAGGUCUCCCUGCGAUUCAGUCACCAGUCACAGCUCUGCUGGGACCGCACACUGUCCCCCACACAUGCCGCCCUUGACUGUUGUGACAAAGAGCUUCCAAGAGCAUCAGCAUAACAACAGCAUGCAGAGGCUGCAGGGGAUCUGAAACUAUCAGUGGGGCAGUUGGAAGCACGUCUCUACACAUGGUUUUCCAGGGUGGUAUCUUUGCAGCACGCAGAAAUCCUCUUCUGAAGAGUCCUUUGCUGUAUUCCCCCGUGCCUCCCCACCCCCACCCUCCCACCCCCGCUAAUGGGCAUGUUUCCGUGAACACUGAAGACGAAAAACAUGCGAUUUUGAAUGUGUCUCUUUCACGGUCACACAUUUCUUUUUAUUGUGCAUCUUGGCUGAGCCACGCUUUAAAAUUCCCAGCAACCGUUCCCAAGUCAGUUUUCAAAGAGUCUUGCACCUUUGACCCAAUAAAAACCAGAGAGAACUGGACGAAGACUUGUGGCAUGUCUCGGAAAGCAUUUUGCUAAUAAAAGUUUCAUUUCUUUCCCUUUGA